GCCGAAGUGGUGAAAUUGGUAUACGCAGUGGAUUCAAAAUCCUCCGAGCAUUAGCUCGUGCCGGUUCGAUUCCGGCCUUCGGCACCA
Molecule: transfer RNA, 87 nt
Filed under: Candidatus Cloacimonadota bacterium
Lineage: Bacteria; Pseudomonadati; Candidatus Cloacimonadota
Also listed under: 2 other names
Description: tRNA-Leu
Rfam family: tRNA
About the family: Transfer RNA (tRNA) molecules are approximately 80 nucleotides in length. Their secondary structure includes four short double-helical elements and three loops (D, anti-codon, and T loops). Further hydrogen bonds mediate the characteristic L-shaped molecular structure. tRNAs have two regions of fundamental functional importance: the anti-codon, which is responsible for specific mRNA codon recognition, and the 3' end, to which the tRNAs corresponding amino acid is attached (by aminoacyl-tRNA synthetases). tRNAs cope with the degeneracy of the genetic code in two manners: having more than one tRNA (with a specific anti-codon) for a particular amino acid; and 'wobble' base-pairing, i.e. permitting non-standard base-pairing at the 3rd anti-codon position.
Source: RNAcentral